GAUGAACGCUAGCUACAGGCUUAACACAUGCAAGUCGAGGGGAAACGACAUCGAAAGCUUGCUUUUGAUGGGCGUCGACCGGCGCACGGGUGAGUAACGCGUAUCCAACCUGCCCAUCACUUGGGGAUAACCUUGCGAAAGUAAGACUAAUACCCAAUGAUAUCUCUAGAAGACAUCUGAAAGAGAUUAAAGAUUUAUCGGUGAUGGAUGGGGAUGCGUCUGAUUAGCUUGUUGGCGGGGUAACGGCCCACCAAGGCAACGAUCAGUAGGGGUUCUGAGAGGAAGGUCCCCCACAUUGGAACUGAGGCACGGUCCAAACUCCUACGGGAGGCAGCAGUGAGGAAUAUUGGUCAAUGGGCGAGAGCCUGAACCAGCCAAGUAGCGUGCAGGAAGACGGCCCUAUGGGUUGUAAACUGCUUUUAUAAGGGAAUAAAGUGAGAGUCGUGACUCUUUUUGUAUGUACCUUAUGAAUAAGGACCGGCUAAUUCCGUG
RNAcentral lists this ribosomal RNA (492 nucleotides) under uncultured bacterium. RNAcentral's name for it is "partial 16S ribosomal RNA". It matches the Rfam family "Bacterial small subunit ribosomal RNA", at positions 28 to 507 of the family's 1533-position model. The record is from RNAcentral.